This 254-nucleotide ribosomal RNA is filed under the name uncultured bacterium. RNAcentral's name for it is "partial 16S ribosomal RNA". It matches the Rfam family "Bacterial small subunit ribosomal RNA", at positions 524 to 777 of the family's 1533-position model. The record is from RNAcentral.
UACGGAGGGUGCAAGCGUUAAUCGGAAUUACUGGGCGUAAAGCGUGCGUAGGCGGUUCGUUAAGUCUGUUGUGAAAGCCCCGGGCUCAACCUGGGAAUGGCAAUGGAUACUGGCGAGCUAGAGUGUGUCAGAGGAUGGUGGAAUUCCCGGUGUAGCGGUGAAAUGCGUAGAGAUCGGGAGGAACACCAGUGGCGAAGGCGGCUACCUGGACCAGCACUGACACUGAGACACGAAAGCGUGGGGAGCAAACAGGG